This 73-nucleotide transfer RNA is filed under the name Alphaproteobacteria bacterium 40-19. RNAcentral's name for it is "tRNA-Lys". It matches the Rfam family "tRNA". From Rfam's summary of the family: Transfer RNA (tRNA) molecules are approximately 80 nucleotides in length. Their secondary structure includes four short double-helical elements and three loops (D, anti-codon, and T loops). Further hydrogen bonds mediate the characteristic L-shaped molecular structure. tRNAs have two regions of fundamental functional importance: the anti-codon, which is responsible for specific mRNA codon recognition, and the 3' end, to which the tRNAs corresponding amino acid is attached (by aminoacyl-tRNA synthetases). tRNAs cope with the degeneracy of the genetic code in two manners: having more than one tRNA (with a specific anti-codon) for a particular amino acid; and 'wobble' base-pairing, i.e. permitting non-standard base-pairing at the 3rd anti-codon position. Lineage: Bacteria; Pseudomonadati; Pseudomonadota; Alphaproteobacteria. The record is from RNAcentral.
GGGCGUUUAGCUCAGUUGGUAGAGCAGCUGACUCUUAAUCAGCGGGUCGCAGGUUCGAAUCCUGCAACGCCCA